UGAACCCUGAAUACAAUGAGGACUGAUUGAGGUCAUUUAUGUUAGUGGCCCAGUAUGCGAGCAAAGAGAAUGGCAUUCCAGAGGUGAGCACCAUGGAGGAGUGAAGAAUAACUGAGGAUUGCAGGGGUCCGGGUGGACCACGGAUAGGUGACAGGACAGUGGAGCUCUGGCCCAGAGCGCCUCAACAAAUGACAAAGGAUGGUCGUCGAGACAAGAGCCUGAGUGUACUCAAAUGUGGCAAUUGGUGCCACGGCCCACCUGCC
Long non-coding RNA from Polypterus senegalus (gray bichir), 263 nucleotides. RefSeq lists it as uncharacterized. The record is from RefSeq and is a predicted model, not a curated record. The transcript has 3 exons. NCBI's taxonomy places the organism in Eukaryota, Metazoa, Chordata, Cladistia, Polypteriformes, Polypteridae.